RNAcentral lists this ribosomal RNA (460 nucleotides) under uncultured bacterium. RNAcentral describes it as "bacterial SSU rRNA". It matches the Rfam family "Bacterial small subunit ribosomal RNA", at positions 338 to 795 of the family's 1533-position model. The record is from RNAcentral.
CCUACGGGGGGCAGCAGUAAGGAAUAUUGGACAAUGGUCGCAAGACUGAUCCAGCCAUGCCGCGUGAAGGAUGAAGGCCCUAUGGGUUGUAAACUUCUUUUGUACGGGAAAAAACCCCUCUACGUGUAGAGGGCUGAUUGUACCGUAAGAAUAAGGAUCGGCUAACUCCGUGCCAGCAGCCGCGGUAAUACGGAGGAUCCAAGCGUUAUCCGGAUUCAUUGGGUUUAAAGGGUGCGUAGGCGGAAUGAUAAGUCAGUGGUGAAAUCCCUUCGCUUAACGAAGGAACUGCCAUUGAUACUGUCAAUCUUGAGUACAUUUGAUGUGGGCGGAAUGUGUCAUGUAGCGGUGAAAUGCUUAGAUAUGACACAGAACACCGAUUGCGAAGGCAGCUCACAAAACUGUAACUGACGCUGAGGCACGAAAGCGUGGGUAUCAAACAGGAUUAGAUACCCGAGUAGUC